This 297-nucleotide ribosomal RNA is filed under the name Pseudomonas aeruginosa. Its description in RNAcentral is "partial 16S ribosomal RNA". It matches the Rfam family "Bacterial small subunit ribosomal RNA", at positions 1147 to 1443 of the family's 1533-position model. The record is from RNAcentral. Lineage: Bacteria; Pseudomonadati; Pseudomonadota; Gammaproteobacteria; Pseudomonadales; Pseudomonadaceae.
GACUGCCGGUGACAAACCGGAGGAAGGUGGGGAUGACGUCAAGUCAUCAUGGCCCUUACGGCCAGGGCUACACACGUGCUACAAUGGUCGGUACAAAGGGUUGCCAAGCCGCGAGGUGGAGCUAAUCCCAUAAAACCGAUCGUAGUCCGGAUCGCAGUCUGCAACUCGACUGCGUGAAGUCGGAAUCGCUAGUAAUCGUGAAUCAGAAUGUCACGGUGAAUACGUUCCCGGGCCUUGUACACACCGCCCGUCACACCAUGGGAGUGGGUUGCUCCAGAAGUAGCUAGUCUAACCGCA